RNAcentral lists this ribosomal RNA (256 nucleotides) under uncultured bacterium. RNAcentral's name for it is "partial 16S ribosomal RNA". It matches the Rfam family "Bacterial small subunit ribosomal RNA", at positions 524 to 776 of the family's 1533-position model. The record is from RNAcentral.
UACGUAGGGUGCGAGCGUUUGUCCGGAAUUAUUGGGCGUAAAGAGCUCGUAGGCGGUGUGUCACGUCGUUCGUGAAAACCUGCAGCUUAACUGUGGGCGUGCGGUCGAUACGGGGCAUCACUGGAGUUCGGCAGGGGAGACUGGAAUUCCUGGUGUAGCGGUGAAAUGCGCAGAUAUCAGGAGGAACACCGGUGGCGAAGGCGGGUCUCUGGGCCGAUACUGACGCUGAGGAGCGAAAGCGUGGGGAGCGAACAGG